ACGGGCAUAGCUCAGUUGGUAGAGCACUGGAUUCCAAAUCCAGGUGUCGGGGGUUCGAGUCCUCCUGCCCGUGCCA
Molecule: transfer RNA, 76 nt
Filed under: Litorimonas cladophorae
Lineage: Bacteria; Pseudomonadati; Pseudomonadota; Alphaproteobacteria; Maricaulales; Robiginitomaculaceae
Description: tRNA-Trp
Rfam family: tRNA
About the family: Transfer RNA (tRNA) molecules are approximately 80 nucleotides in length. Their secondary structure includes four short double-helical elements and three loops (D, anti-codon, and T loops).
Source: RNAcentral